CUUGACCUUUCUUCCCUAUCCACUUGCCUCGGUCCCCUGUCUCAAAAUCCCCCAAAGGAAACCCUAGGCUCGUGUGGUCUAGGCGCCGGCCGUGCAAGCUCCGCCCGCGCUAACAAGCCUCUGGCAUGCCACUGUCAAGCUCCUCAUGGCUCCAGUGCCUCCUGGUUUUCCUACGCCUUCGACGCGGCCCGUCUAUGCUCCACCGCCGCCGCCAAGCUCCAUUUUGAUCUCCGGGUCGAGCUCAACCGGCGGAAUGCAAGGGUGCAUCCGCCGGAUCCUCGACAUGCUCAAGGUGGGGUAAAUGGGACGCCGACGGACCCCCCUCCCGGCUACUCUGCAGACGUCGCUGCCGCCCGGCGCGGUUCGGCCCCGUGUGGAACCGCGCCGUCUAGACGUCGAGUCGAGCCACCCGUCCGCCGCGAGGUCGAGCCACUAAGUGCCAUCGACUGCCCAUUGACAGCUUCCGGGGCCCCUUUUUUUGCAGGUUGACUCCCAAGGCUUUGGCAUCGGCCUAGGACCUGAUCUGAAACCAAACGAGCGAAUGGUGCUCUACGGCCGCACCUGGUGGGUGCAAGUUCGUCUAGCCUACGUUGGUCCUCCAAUCAACCUCAGCAGGGAGAUCAAUCACGUAGGAGGUGUUGCAGGCUCGGUGGUGUUCGUGCUACUCCAGGCCGCCUGCUAUUGGUAUAGCUGCCGCAACAAGUAAGCAAAGAAGAUGUCCACAGGGGCAUGUUUAGAGGCGAACCUAGCUCGCGCCUCCUCUUUUGGCUUGAACUAAUCAAGUGUGUGUUAGGAUAUUUAACCCAAAGUAUUUGAUCCCCUGUGUACAUUUAAGCCCUUCUAGCUACAAUGCUAUGCUUUGCAAAUGUGCAAUGCAUAUAUGCAAUCCCCCUAUAUAUGUGUGCAAUGUUAAACUGCGACAAUGCUAUCCUCUCUGUUGCUGUGUUGUUUGUUUCAAUGAUACACUUGCCCUUUCAAA
Molecule: long non-coding RNA, 979 nt
Organism: Brachypodium distachyon (stiff brome)
Lineage: Eukaryota; Viridiplantae; Streptophyta; Magnoliopsida; Poales; Poaceae
Exons: 2
Source: RefSeq, a predicted model, not a curated record